This 658-nucleotide ribosomal RNA is filed under the name Hyphomicrobiales bacterium. Its description in RNAcentral is "bacterial SSU rRNA". It matches the Rfam family "Bacterial small subunit ribosomal RNA", at positions 100 to 794 of the family's 1533-position model. The record is from RNAcentral. Lineage: Bacteria; Pseudomonadati; Pseudomonadota; Alphaproteobacteria; Hyphomicrobiales.
GACGGGUGAGUAACACGUGGGAACGUACCUUUCGGUUCGGAAUAAUUCAGGGAAACUUGGACUAAUACCGGAUACGCCCUUCGGGGGAAAGAUUUAUCGCCGAUAGAUCGGCCCGCGUCUGAUUAGCUAGUUGGUGAGGUAAAGGCUCACCAAGGCGACGAUCAGUAGCUGGUCUGAGAGGAUGAUCAGCCACAUUGGGACUGAGACACGGCCCAAACUCCUACGGGAGGCAGCAGUGGGGAAUAUUGGACAAUGGGCGCAAGCCUGAUCCAGCCAUGCCGCGUGAGUGAUGAAGGCCUUAGGGUUGUAAAGCUCUUUUGUCCGGGAAGAUAAUGACUGUACCGGAAGAAUAAGCCCCGGCUAACUUCGUGCCAGCAGCCGCGGUAAUACGAAGGGGGCUAGCGUUGCUCGGAAUCACUGGGCGUAAAGGGCGCGUAGGCGGACUUUUAAGUCGGAGGUGAAAGCCCAGGGCUCAACCCUGGAAUUGCCUUCGAUACUGGGAGUCUUGAGUUCGGAAGAGGUUGGUGGAACUGCGAGUGUAGAGGUGAAAUUCGUAGAUAUUCGCAAGAACACCGGUGGCGAAGGCGGCCAACUGGUCCGAAACUGACGCUGAGGCGCGAAAGCGUGGGGAGCAAACAGGAUUAGAUACCCUGGUAGU